UACGUAGGGUGCAAGCGUUAAUCGGAAUUACUGGGCGUAAAGCGUGCGCAGGUGGUUGUGCAAGUCUGAUGUGAAAUCCCCGGGCUCAACUUGGGAACUGCAUUGGAGACUGCACGGCUAGAGUGCGUCAGAGGGGGGUAGAAUUCCACGUGUAGCAGUGAAAUGCGUAGAGAUGUGGAGGAAUACCGAUGGCGAAGGCAGCCCCCUGGGAUAGCACUGACACUCAUGCACGAAAGCGUGGGGAGCAAACAGG
Molecule: ribosomal RNA, 253 nt
Filed under: uncultured bacterium
Lineage: Bacteria
Description: partial 16S ribosomal RNA
Rfam family: Bacterial small subunit ribosomal RNA
Source: RNAcentral